Molecule: long non-coding RNA, 4764 nt
Filed under: Sus scrofa (pig)
Lineage: Eukaryota; Metazoa; Chordata; Mammalia; Artiodactyla; Suidae
Description: lncRNA (ENSSSCG00000059657.1)
Source: RNAcentral
UUUUAAGUAUGUUAACCCCUUCCUAUAUCUGCUUGCUUUGGCCUGAUAGUCAUAUAGGCUCAAACACAUCAUUAAAAUAAAGAUUGUAUUUUUUUUAUUACUUCCCUUACUCAUAGUGUAUGAUUUUGAUGUCUUUUUUUUUUCUUUUUUAACAUCUUCAUGUUUAAAUCCAUAUGCUGGCUUAUUUAAGUGACUGAUUUCCAAUUGUGGUUUCCUCCAUCCUAGUUCUUCCUUUUUUUUUUUUUUUUUUAAUUUAGAGAAACCCUUUCAGUAUUUCCUUUAGAAUGGAUUUAGGAUUGCUAUACUCUUUUAGCUUUUGUUUGUUGGAGAAAUUCUUUAUUUCCCCUUCUGUUUUAAAUAAUAUUCUUGCUGGAUAGAGUAUUCUAGGUUGCAGAUUUUUUUCCUUCAGUGCUUUAAAUAUAUCUUGCCACUCCCUUCUGGCCUGUAGUGUUUCUGUAGAGAAAUCCGGUGAUAGCCUUAUUGGGGUUCUCUUAUAAUUAAUGCUUUGCUUUUCUCUUGCUGCCUUUAGAAUCCUCUCUUUAUUUUUGUCAUUUUUAUUAUAAUAUGUCUUCUUGUGGGCUUGUUUUGGACCCUCUGUGCUUCCUGUAUCUUGAUAUCAGUAUGCUUUAGAUUUGGAAAGUUUUCAGCCAUAAUUUGUUCAAAUAUAUUUUCAAUCCCCUUUCGUCUUCUUUUCCUUCUGGAAUUCCUCUUAUACGUAGAUUGGCCCACUGUAUAUUAUCCCAUAGGUGUCUUAUAUUGCUUUCAUGUUUUUUUCAUUUGGUUUUCUGUCUGCUCUGCUGAUUGGGUGAUUUCCAUUAUUGUAUCUUCCAUGUUACUAAUUCAUUCCUCUGCAUUUCAUUCUGGUCUUUAUUACCUUUAGCUCAUUUUGUAUCUCUGCAAAUGAAUUUUCUAGUUUUUCUUGUUUCCUCCUUAUAUUUGGGGAAGCCAAACUAUAGUCUUGUAAGGCUACUUCUAUGCAAGAAUACCCCUUUGUAUUUUUUGGGGGGGUUACUGUUUAUUUUUGGUGUGGGAGUUUGAAUCUUUGCUGUCUUUUCUUAGGUAUGAGCAGGAUGUUCAAUGUGUUUUCAGGGAGAUGGAGGCAAUGGGUAGGGCCAGCAGUCAGUGCCUGGUCUUUGGGCUCUCAACAGAAGCAAAGAUCAGCAGGAAGGUGGCACAGGCUGCUCCUAGUUGCAGAACCCUUGGAAGUGGUAAUGAGCUCUAGGAGGAUCUUCAAGGUGACCAGAUCUUUGGUAGUAGUAGCAGCAGGGUACAUGAGUUCCCAGGAAGGGUGAGUGCAACAACAGCUUGUGUUUGAUUGCAGUGCCCUCCUCUGUGGUGAUUGGAACUGCAAGUGGUGCCUGUUCAGGGACCCCUAGUGGAAAUGGGACAUGACCAUCUCUAGCAUCAGUGAUAACUGCAGUGGUUUGCCUCCACCACCUAUAGACCAUGCAUGAAGCUAUCCAUCUUACUUAGCCCAUAUAGGAGUUGCUGCACAGGCUGUUCCUAGUUGCAGGGUCCUGGGAAGUGACAGAGAUCUGGCAUAUGAGUACUGCCUGGAACAUUCAGCACUGGCAGCAGCAGGGCCCAUGUAUUCCCAAGGGUGCAAGAGCACCAACAGGUGGCAUUUGGUCACAGUGCCCUCCCCUGUGAUGACUUUGAGAUGAUUGGGCCUGCAAAUGGUGCCUGUUCACUGAUCCCUAGUGGUGUCAGGUCACUGCCACCUCUGGAGCCAGAGAUAACUGUGGUGAUUUGCCCCCACCAUCUGAAAAUCAUGCUGCUUAGCCCCCACAGGAUGUGCUGCACAAGGCACUCUUAGUUGUAGGUGUCUGGGAAGGGACAGUGAUCAAGAAUCUGGGCACUGCCCAGAAUGUCUGGCAGUGGCAGCUGCAGGGCAGGUGUGCUCUCAGGGGAGCUAGAGCAAUAUCAGGUGAUAUUCAGUCAUAAUGUCCUUCUCUGUGAUGCCCUCUGAAGUGGUUAGGGCUGCAAGUGAUUUUUGUUCAGGUAUCCCCAGGGGCCGUGGGCCAUGCCCACCUCUGGAAUCAGGGAUAACUUCAGUGGUUUGCUUCUGCCACCUGCAGGUCCAGUCCACCAUAGGCUAGCAAGCAGCUUCCUGCUGGUCCACGGCAGGCUAGCAAGUGGCUUCUUGCCUUGGGGCGGGGGGGCGCUGCAAUGGAGACAUCCAGUCCAUGGUGGGCUGGCGAGCGGCUUCCCAUGACUGAAGAGGCCCAGUCCGGGAAAGGCCAGAAAGUGACUUCCAGCCAUGGGGAUGGUGGGGGGGGGGGCUGUGCCUGGGAUGCUCCAUCUUCUGCAGCUGGUGGACAUGUGCACACGCUGGGGAGCAAGGAAUUUCCUAUGGUGGCCUUUCCCAACUCUUCUCAUCCUCACCAACAAUGGAGCCUUGCCUCUCCUGUGGGUCCUGACCUUCUCCUGGGUUCUCUCUGUCAUGGCUUGCUGCAUUUCCUGGCCCUUACCAUACGGCUCCCUUACCUGUGGUGCACUGUUCCUUAGCCCCUUAGGCUGUCUCCACACCAUCAACCCCAGCCCGCUCCUGGGGACUGAUCUCCAGAGCCUAAGUCUCAGCGCCCAGCCCCCACCCAAGCAUCUCAGGCCAUGGUGUCUGUGCCAGUGGUUCGGAUGAUCUGUGCGUCUCUCACUCUGCUUUUCUGUUCUCAGACCUGCUGCUAUGCUUUUCUCGGCAUCUUUGAGGUCCCUCCCACUCAGCAGAUCUUUCUGUCAGUUAAGUGGCUUCCCAGGGUGUGGAUUCCUUUUCUCCUUCACAGCUGCCUCUCGGGAAUGCUAGUCCGGUCCUGAUUCCUUUUCUCUCUCUUUUUUUCUUUUGAUCUAGUUAUGUCAAGAGUUUCUUGCCAUUUUUGGAGUUUGAUUUCUUCUGCCAUCAUUCAAUUGAUGUUCUGUGCAAGUUGUUUUACAUGUAGGUGUGUUUUUUUGAUGUGUUUGUGGGAGAGGGUGAGCUACAUCUCUUACUCUUCCACCAUCUUGCCUCUCCCCCUUGAGGGUUUUAAAAUCAUGGAAAUUUAUGAAGUUCCAUGGACUCAUAUUCAAAGAAAUAAAGCUAAAUUAUUAUGUAUUUUUAUUUUAAUUAGGAAAAGACAUUCAAAUUUUCGAUUUAAUUUUGUGCAUCUUAAAAAUCAAUGGGGUAUUAAAUUGUUUAUAUAAAUUUUCAUGUUCCAUUGUUGUUAAAUUCCCAAUGUAUUGGUAAUAUUCCUUAAGUAUAUGCAGAGUGCAUUCAAUCCACAAAAGUCUUUCUACUUUUAUUGUUUGAAAUCAACAUUUUUCAUAAAAUAAUUAAGGUAUGACUGGUCCUUUUAUCUAACUCAGUUCCCCUUUGGAUCAUAUUGUAGCAACAGUUUAUGUUUCAUGUUUAGGUAUGUUUAUAUUCUUAUCUCAGAAUGUAGGGAAUUAUACACUAUCAAGUUUUAGAAUUAUCAGUUUGAGUUGAGGAGAAAAUCCUUGUACCAAACAGCAGUAAUGAUCACCUGCUGAUAUCUCUUUUCUAUCAAAAGGAAUGAUCUUGGCCAAGUCCUUUAACCUCUCAAAAAUAGUUUUCAUAAUUGUAAAAGUGAGGGACUCAAUGGUCUCAAAUUCUAAAACUUCCUAUGUUCUUUGCAAAUAAAAUUUAAUUACAGAAUAAAAUUUAUAGACUUGUACCAAUGCAUUACCUUGUACAACUGCUUUAAUUAUUAUAAGCUUAUCUAGAGAAUUUAUUAUCUAAUAAAGUUUUUAAUUUCCCUAAUGUAAAAAAACCCCAAACAAAAAGAUGAUCAAAGGAAAAUAUUUUAAUUGCUGUAUUCUGCAUGUGUGCAAGUAAUACACAUAAGUUUAAUACUGUCUGAAAACAAUUUGGUUUUGUAUGUUUCUGUUAUAUUACGUCUCUAAAAUACUAGCCUAUUGAUGUGUCGCAUUUAGCCCAAAUUCUUUAUAAUACUAUUUAAAAUGUGAAUAUAUGGUUUUUGAAUAUGAUUUUAUAUAGCAUAGAUUUUUUUUUAGUAGCUUAUGAUAUUUAUCACAAUCACAAUGUAUGUUUUGAAACCAGUAGUAAUAUACUAUGGCUUACCAAUUCUGCCAAUAUAAUGUUCUAAAAGUUGAUGUACAUUUGUAGAUAACACUUUCAGUCAAACCUGUUUUUUUAUUCAUAUAAAAAUUAGGUACACUUAGUAUGAAAAAACCACCUUUUGAAUGUUCGGAAUUAUUUCAAAAUAUGGAAUUACUUUUGCCUUUGAAUGUGGAAUGGCAACUUAAUUAUGGAAGAAUUUGAUUUCUUUUUAUAAUAUUUCUUUUGAUUAGGGAUAUGGAUAUUUCUAUUAAUGUUUAAUAAGGCAUAAAUUGCUCAAUACUUGAAAAUUAGUAUUUCUCAUUAAAAGCCCACUCUGUGUUGCUCACCUCAUUAACUGAGAAAUUAGAAAUUAAGCUAUUUGUAUUAUAAUGGUGAAGAGUGCAGGUGGAUGAAUUGUCAGAAAGGUGUCUUGUUCUACUUAGUUUACCCUCAACCAUAUUCCAGGGAAUAUUUCAAUAGAUAAUCAUUCUAAUGUUCCUUUCAAUUUGUCUGAAUUGAGUAAUUUUAAAAGAUAUUUCCCAGAAUAAUCAGGCCAAUAAAGUGCUUAUUUAAUUAGAGCAGUACUAAUGGCUACCAUUUAUUGAAUGCCUAAUAUGUAUCUGAAACCACAUUUGAAUCCUCAUAGUUAAAAUCCAGAGCAACAAUGCAUAUUAAUUGAAUAUUAAACAACCUUUCAAAUUAGAAAAAGAAAA